This 433-nucleotide ribosomal RNA is filed under the name uncultured bacterium. Its description in RNAcentral is "partial 16S ribosomal RNA". It matches the Rfam family "Bacterial small subunit ribosomal RNA", at positions 29 to 507 of the family's 1533-position model. The record is from RNAcentral.
AACGAACGCUGGCGGCAUGCCUAACACAUGCAAGUCGAACGAGACCUUCGGGUCUAGUGGCGCACGGGUGCGUAACGCGUGGGAACCUGCCCUUAGGUUCGGAAUAACUCCCCGAAAGGGGUGCUAAUACCGGAUAAUGUCUUCGGACCAAAGAUUUAUCGCCUUUGGAUGGGCCCGCGUUGGAUUAGCUAGUUGGUAGGGUAAAAGCCUACCAAGGCGACGAUCCAUAGCUGGUCUGAGAGGAUGAUCAGCCACACUGGGACUGAGACACGGCCCAGACUCCGACGGGGGGGAGGAGGGGGGAAUAUUGGACAAUGGGGGAAAGCCCGAACCAGCAAUGCCCGGGGAGGGAUGAAGGGCUUAGGGGUGUAAAGCUCUUUUACCCGGGAUGAUAAUGACAGUACCGGGGGAAUAAGCUCCGGCUAACUCCGUG